UGGUGAGGUUGAGAGUACCUGAAGAAUAAGCACCGGCUAACUACGUGCCAGCAGCCGCGGUAAUACGUAGGGUGCAAGCGUUAAUCGGAAUUACUGGGCGUAAAGCGUGCGCAGGCGGACUUUUAAGCCAGAUGUGAAAGCCCCGAGCUUAACUUGGGAAUUGCGUUUGGAACUGGGAGUCUAGAGUCUGUCAGAGGGGGAUGGAAUUCCACGUGUAGCAGUGAAAUGCGUAGAGAUGUGGAGGAACACCGAUGGCGAAGGCAGUCCCCUGGGAUAAGACUGACGCUCAUGCACGAAAGCGUGGGGAGCAAACAGGAUUAGAUACCCUGGUAGUCCACGCCCUAAACGAUGUCUACUAGUUGUUGGGGUAGCAAUACCUCAGUGACGCAGCUAACGCGUGAAGUAGACCGCCUGGGGAGUACGGUCGCAAGAUUAAAACUCAAAGGAAUUGACGGGGGGC
RNAcentral lists this ribosomal RNA (460 nucleotides) under uncultured bacterium. RNAcentral describes it as "bacterial SSU rRNA". It matches the Rfam family "Bacterial small subunit ribosomal RNA", at positions 461 to 921 of the family's 1533-position model. The record is from RNAcentral.